GUUUAUUUCAAAAUACUUACAUUUUGUCAGAGAAAAAACUACCGUAUAGCCUAAACCUUAAUCUGAGCAGGGGUUUUAAGCCUAAACAAAACCAGUUUUAAUGCUGGAAUUAGAGAUUUGAUUAAUUUAUGGAAUUUCGCCGCACAGGUGAAGCGUGUGUUGGGAUUCGGAGAGAAGAUUCAUCCUAUGACUUUGAGCUGCCCAACGCUGUAGCCGUGAACAUGCAAAACCUUGCGUGUGAUGCAGAAUGGACCAUUGAUCAAAUCUACACAGCAAUCCUGGAUGGAAAUUCAAGUUACUUUUCUCAUCCCUUCAAAAAAUUAACUCGUUAUGGAAUCAGUGCAUCUUACUGUCCAGCUUCAGUCAGAUUCCACGUCUCUUGCCCCAAAUACACAAAGACCCUCAAUUGUUCUUGCACCAAUGCCACAGACAGCAAUUCCAUUUUUCGCACAAUUCUGCCAUCUAGAGAAACCUCCUCCUCUGCCAUGAAAACUGGUUUAUUAAAGAGACAACACUACGGCUGCACCAUUGCUGUUGCUUCCACUUUUGUCCCAGUACUUGUCAUUUUGGUGUACAUCAUCUGCAGGACAAACAGGUAUUUAACAUACAUUUUGUAAUAAUGCCAUAUGCACA
Molecule: long non-coding RNA, 633 nt
Filed under: Sinocyclocheilus anshuiensis
Lineage: Eukaryota; Metazoa; Chordata; Actinopteri; Cypriniformes; Cyprinidae
Description: lncRNA (ENSSANG00000048567.1)
Source: RNAcentral